GAUGAAUGCUGGCGGCGUGCCUAAUACAUGCAAGUCGUGCGGCAGCGCGAGUAGUUUACUACUUGGCGGCGAGCGGCGGACGGCUGAGUAACGCGUGGGAACGUGCCCCAAAGUGAGGGAUAAGCCCGAGAAAUCGGGUCUAAUACCGCAUAUGGUCUUCGGAUUAAAGCUUCGGCGCUUUGGGAGCGGCCCGCGUACGAUUAGAUUGUUGGUGAGGUAAUGGCUCACCAAGUCGACGAUCGUUAGCUGGUCUGAGAGGAUGAUCAGCCAGACUGGAACUGAGACACGGUCCAGACUCCUACGGGAGGCAGCAGUAAGGAAUCUUCCACAAUGGGGGCAACCCUGAUGGAGCAACGCCGCGUGCAGGAUGAAGGCCCUCGGGUCGUAAACUGCUUUUAUGAGUGAAGAAUAUGACGGUAACUCAUGAAUAAGCACCGGCUAACUACGUGCCAGCAGCCGCGGUCAUACGUAGGGUGCAAGCAUUAUCCGGAGUGACUGGGCGUAAAGAGUUGCGUAGGCGGUUAGUAAAGCGAAUAGUGAAACCUGGUGGCUCAACCAUACAGACUAUUAUUCGAACUCACUAACUCGAGAGUGGUAGAGGUAACUGGAAUUUCUUGUGUAGGAGUGAAAUCCGUAGAUAUAAGAAGGAACACCAAUGGCGUAGGCAGGUUACUGGACCAUUUCUGACGCUAAGGCACGAAAGCGUGGGAGCGAACGGGAUUAGAUACCCCGGUAGUCCACGCCGUAAACGAUGGAUACUAGCUGUUGGAGGUAUCGACCCCUUCAGUAGCGAAGCUAACGCGUUAAGUAUCCCGCCUGUGGAGUACGGCCGCAAGGCUAAAACAUAAAGGAAUUGACGGGGAUCAGCACAAGCGGUGGAUCGUGUUCUUUAAUUCGAUGAUAAACGAAGAACCUUACCAGGGCUUGACAUCCAGGGAAGCACUACGAAAGUAGCGUGUGCCUUUUGGAACCCUGUGACAGUGCUGCAUGGCUGUCGUCAGCUCGUGUCGUGAGAUGUUGGGUUAAGUCCCGCACGAGCGCACCCCUAUCCUUAGUGCAGCAUUUGGUUGGCACUCUAAGAGACUGCCGGUGACAACCGGAGAAUGUGG
Molecule: ribosomal RNA, 1109 nt
Filed under: uncultured bacterium
Lineage: Bacteria
Description: bacterial SSU rRNA
Rfam family: Bacterial small subunit ribosomal RNA
Source: RNAcentral